RNAcentral lists this ribosomal RNA (1686 nucleotides) under Klebsiella quasipneumoniae. RNAcentral's name for it is "bacterial LSU rRNA". It matches the Rfam family "Bacterial large subunit ribosomal RNA", at positions 1260 to 2925 of the family's 2925-position model. The record is from RNAcentral. Lineage: Bacteria; Pseudomonadati; Pseudomonadota; Gammaproteobacteria; Enterobacterales; Enterobacteriaceae.
CCUGUGAGGGUUGCUGGAGGUAUCAGAAGUGCGAAUGCUGACAUAAGUAACGAUAAAGCGGGUGAAAAGCCCGCUCGCCGGAAGACCAAGGGUUCCUGUCCAACGUUAAUCGGGGCAGGGUGAGUCGACCCCUAAGGCGAGGCCGAAAGGCGUAGUCGAUGGGAAACAGGUUAAUAUUCCUGUACUUGGUGUUACUGCGAAGGGGGGACGGAGAAGGCUAUGUUAGCCGGGCGACGGUUGUCCCGGUUUAAGCAUGUAGGCUGAUUAUCCAGGCAAAUCCGGAUAAUCAAGGCUGAGGUGUGAUGACGAGGCACUACGGUGCUGAAGUAACAAAUGCCCUGCUUCCAGGAAAAGCCUCUAAGCAUCAGGUAACAUCAAAUCGUACCCCAAACCGACACAGGUGGUCAGGUAGAGAAUACCAAGGCGCUUGAGAGAACUCGGGUGAAGGAACUAGGCAAAAUGGUGCCGUAACUUCGGGAGAAGGCACGCUGGUGUGUAGGUGAAGUCCCUGCGGAUGGAGCUGAGACCAGUCGAAGAUACCAGCUGGCUGCAACUGUUUAUUAAAAACACAGCACUGUGCAAACACGAAAGUGGACGUAUACGGUGUGACGCCUGCCCGGUGCCGGAAGGUUAAUUGAUGGGGUUAUCCGUAAGGAGAAGCUCUUGAUCGAAGCCCCGGUAAACGGCGGCCGUAACUAUAACGGUCCUAAGGUAGCGAAAUUCCUUGUCGGGUAAGUUCCGACCUGCACGAAUGGCGUAAUGAUGGCCAGGCUGUCUCCACCCGAGACUCAGUGAAAUUGAACUCGCUGUGAAGAUGCAGUGUACCCGCGGCAAGACGGAAAGACCCCGUGAACCUUUACUAUAGCUUGACACUGAACAUUGAGCCUUGAUGUGUAGGAUAGGUGGGAGGCUUUGAAGCGUGGACGCCAGUCUGCGUGGAGCCAACCUUGAAAUACCACCCUUUAAUGUUUGAUGUUCUAACGUUGGCCCCUUAUCGGGGUUGCGGACAGUGUCUGGUGGGUAGUUUGACUGGGGCGGUCUCCUCCCAAAGCGUAACGGAGGAGCACGAAGGUUAGCUAAUCCUGGUCGGACAUCAGGAGGUUAGUGCAAUGGCAUAAGCUAGCUUGACUGCGAGCGUGACGGCGCGAGCAGGUGCGAAAGCAGGUCAUAGUGAUCCGGUGGUUCUGAAUGGAAGGGCCAUCGCUCAACGGAUAAAAGGUACUCCGGGGAUAACAGGCUGAUACCGCCCAAGAGUUCAUAUCGACGGCGGUGUUUGGCACCUCGAUGUCGGCUCAUCACAUCCUGGGGCUGAAGUAGGUCCCAAGGGUAUGGCUGUUCGCCAUUUAAAGUGGUACGCGAGCUGGGUUUAGAACGUCGUGAGACAGUUCGGUCCCUAUCUGCCGUGGGCGCUGGAGAAUUGAGGGGGGCUGCUCCUAGUACGAGAGGACCGGAGUGGACGCAUCACUGGUGUUCGGGUUGUCAUGCCAAUGGCACUGCCCGGUAGCUAAAUGCGGAAGAGAUAAGUGCUGAAAGCAUCUAAGCACGAAACUUGCCCCGAGAUGAGUUCUCCCUGAGACUUUAAGUCUCCUGAAGGAACGUUAAAGACGAUGACGUUGAUAGGCCGGGUGUGUAAGCGCAGCGAUGCGUUGAGCUAACCGGUACUAAUGAACCGUGAGGCUUAACCUU